Molecule: long non-coding RNA, 1157 nt
Organism: Triplophysa dalaica
Lineage: Eukaryota; Metazoa; Chordata; Actinopteri; Cypriniformes; Nemacheilidae
Exons: 2
Source: RefSeq, a predicted model, not a curated record
AGAGCGCCUCUGCUUUCUGCUAUUCAAAUCACUCAGAAUGAAUGCAUCAGUCAAUGCCCCGGGGGAAUGCUUGGUGUUUGUCUCUUAUUAAAUCCUCUUCAAUGUUUGUCAAUGAGAGGUCUCUGCCAAUCUCUUCUGCUUUUGCGUGGAGAGUGGGGGUCCCAGGGGCGAUGUUGUGCGGGAAAUAUCACUUCAUCAGUAUUCCGCUGCCUAUCUGCCCCACUGGUCAAUCAGCUCAGUGUAUGAGGCUUCAGUUACAACCUUAAUCUGAGGAAGAAAGAGAAGCUCCAGUCUGAUGUUUGUUCAAGUUUAAUCCACAACAGACUUAUUUCACUAUAUGCCAUGCCUGAACACACAGACAGAUGACUCUUAAAUUCACCUGGAGAUGAGUCAGCAUUCCCAUCUCAAAAAAAAUCCCCUGCGUAACCCGGUCACAACCCAUUCAAAUGAGCUAUCCCAGAGACUAUAGGAAAGUCUUAAGAUUGAUUAAACACACAGCAGACUAUUUCAUCUGAAUGUUGGACAUUUACGUAGGAUCGGUAAUGAAGAUAAUCAAUUUAAAAACAGUGAGACAAGGGAGUCAGAGUGCACGCUAUUCACAUAAUUGCACCCGCUCAGAAUAGCUUAUGAAUCUCCCCGCGCAGAUAUAUGUCGAGCUUGGUUGAUUUAAUAGGUAUUGCAUACUGAGUCAUUGUACGUGGCUCCCAGUUGUUGAUGGUCUGCAGCUUUUGCUUUCAUCGUCCUUUGGAUAUGGAUUUUACAGCCUUUCCGUUUAUUGGUAGUCUUAAACAAUAAAGAAAUAAAUAAGUUUAAAGAUCGAGUAAGUGACCGCCCAGCUGUCAAACAGAAAGCAGUGUAAAUAAAAUAUCAAAAGCACCCGAAUAUGAUUGACCUUUUGGGGAGAUUCAGGACUUCUAUCUGUCCAUAUAGCCAAUGCCAUUGAAUUAACCUUAUGUGUGCAGGAGAUGAUGGACUCUAGACUACUGCAUUAUUCACCUCGGUGUACUGUCUUUUUAUUAUAUACUGCAUGCUGACACUACCCAUCUUUCUCUUCUUAGCCUCGUGGAAGGCAACAAAGAUUUUUUUAUGCCUUUAAAAAUGCAAAUGCUUCAGGGAGGCAAUGAGGUGUCUUUCCUGAACUAAACUGCUUAAACCAA